This is a long non-coding RNA of Setaria italica (foxtail millet), 1141 nucleotides long. RefSeq lists it as uncharacterized. The record is from RefSeq and is a predicted model, not a curated record. Lineage: Eukaryota; Viridiplantae; Streptophyta; Magnoliopsida; Poales; Poaceae. The transcript is spliced from 6 exons.
AUAGAACACGGAAGUAAGGAACCUUUCCUCUGCUCCACGUUAUCGUCCCUUGAUCCUCUUGUCGUGUGCUCACGUCGACGGCGAUCGCCGACGGCCAAGGGUCAUAACAAGCGGGCGUGAGAAUUCGGUGGUAGAGGAGGAGCGGGGGCACGCAUGUAGACGAGUUGCGGGAAUAAGGAACUGACUUCUGGAGCGGAAGAGAAGUAGGUGCAAGGAGAGGAACAUUGCACACGAAGGUCUGAUUCCGAUCACAGGUGCCCUGAGCUUUAGGCUUCCCACACUUUGUUUUUCGCUGGAUGCAUGAUGUACACUGGAAAUUCAGAGCAGUCCUAGCAGCAUUCUUAGGCAUUGGCUAGAGGACAAAGAUGUCAGCUUGGUGGUGUGUCCUCAUCCAAUGUGGUCUCGGCCCCGCGUCGAUCUCGCCGGAUCCGCAUUAGAACUCGCCGGAUCCGUAGUCGGUCUCGCUGGAUCUGUGCUUCGUCAACGUCGCCGGUGACUCCGGUGCUCCGGCUAUCAAGCCGUUGAGGAACCGGGGCGCGGGCGUGUGACGAUGGCCGGAUCCGACGACGACGAGACGGUUCAGGGUGGGUCAAACCAAGAGAGACGGCUUUGCGGGUUGGCCGGAGAUGAUGACGAGGAUGACAUGCGCGAGGAUGCCGCCGAGCUCUUCGGCCGUGUGGCUCAACCUCCCAUCAUCCUUGAGCCAUGCGAUGACCAAGCAGUGGACGGGGACGGGGAAGAGAACAACGGUAAGCGCUCACGCCCCUCUACCUCGGUUGUGUGGCUUGAUUUCAAGAAGAUAUUCAAAAUGGUGAACGGUAAGAAGGUAAGGUAUGGAGCUAAAUGCAUCCAUUGCUCUAAAGAGUACUCUGGGCGCUCUAGUGGUGGCACUGGUCACCUCACCCGCCAUAGGGAUAGAUGCCCUAGAAGGCGUGAGAAAACUCACAUGUCUCAGUCACAAAUCUCUUUUAAUCCUGAUGGUAGUAUUCGUAAUUGGGAGUACUGUCCUAUAGUUGCCCGUACUCAACUUGUUAGACUGCUUGCUAGGCUUGAUGUUCCUGUCUCUUUGGGUGAAUCUUAUGCAUUUGAAGAUUACAUUAGAACUGCUCAUAAUCCUAAAUUUGUUGCAGUAUCUAGGCAA